This 1661-nucleotide long non-coding RNA is filed under the name Mytilus galloprovincialis (Mediterranean mussel). The record is from RNAcentral. Lineage: Eukaryota; Metazoa; Mollusca; Bivalvia; Mytilida; Mytilidae.
AAAUUUGAGGGGUCAAAAUUAUGCCAUUAGUAAAAUCUAUUUAAAGCAAAUAAAAUGAAAUAAAUCCAUGAAUACAUUUAUAAUGAUAUGAAAAGGACCAUUCAUACUUCUCCAAAACCAACCUAUUUAUUUUAUAGAAUGGUUUACAAAUUUGUGGAGUUCCUGAGAAACUGAUAUCACAAGAGCAAAAGCCUGGCAAUCAAGUACAAACGAACCCUUUGGUUGCUUUCAUAAUUUAAGACAAAACAAAGUAUAUAAUAACCAAAUAAUUGUAUUGAAUAAAAAAAAAAAGAGAGAUAUAAAUAAAAUAAUUAACCCAAACAAAUAAACAAACAAAAACAAAGCGAAUGAAAAGAAAAAACACAUAUUGUGUACCAAUUUUUAUAAAAAUAAAAAUAAAUAAAUAACUCUACUAUACAAACAAAAGAUAUUUACAGAUAUUAAAUAAUAAUCUUUGGUCUGACAAUGAUCAGACAUAUAUACUAUGCUACAAAAAUAAAAUGAGAUCAAUAAUAAAGUACCAUUAUCAAGGAUUAAAGAUCAUAUGACAUGGACAAUGACAUCCAAGGGAAAAUCCGUUUUCAUUCACAUUCUAUUUAUAGAUACAAGGAGAAGAGGUAUGAGUGCCAAUGAGACAACUCUCCAUCCAUUAUAUCUUUAUAUGGCUGUUUCUUUAAAUUCUUAAAUGUCUAUAUUGAUAUUUUUUUCCUUAUUUAAAUUACAAUACUGGUUGGAGAUUCUGUUCGUCUGUUCAUUUAAUAGACCACUUUCGAGUUCAUCCGUCACCGGAAAGAACUCGUCAAUCAGGAGCGCCUUAGUGACGUCAUUUACCAGAUAGAGGGGGUUGCCUGUAUCCUUACACUAUCAACAUUCAUCAAGCGUCAUAGUGAUCGUCAUUGUGCAGGAUAAACCAGAAAUAAUUUUUGUUAUUCGAACUCGAAAAUUUUUGUUUUUCGAACUCGAAAUUUGUCUAUUGAAUGUUUACAAAAUGCCCAGACUUUCUAGACAAACGAAAUCAGCCAACCUGACUAUAAUUAAAUAAAAGCUAUCAAACAAGAUCAAAGAUGAGACAAAACACAUAUUCCAUUUUGAUCAUGACUAAUGACUGUGCUGUGUACAUUUUAAUAAACUAAUAGAAAAGAUCAGCUCAAAAAUCAUCCUUUUAAUGGUUAGCUUUAAAUCAAAUUGCACUUUAUCCUAUUGCUUUAUCAGCAAUGAUUGUGAUUAUUGAUAUUUAAUUUUUUCAAGGGGCACAAAUCAAAAUGUACAUUCUGAAUAUGAGCAAAAACAAAACUAAAAACAUGAUUUUGCCAUCAAAAGCUAACUGUCAAAGCUAAAUGCAAACUAAAAGAUACUACACUCAAGCUAUAAGCAACAAUAUAUUUACCGAAACUUUGAGGAAGUAUUAUUAAAACAAGCUAUCCUUUUUGGCAAUAGUUUUAUUAAAGACUGCCACUGGGCACAACAACACUAUUAUUAAAGUACAUUCACUUCAAUUUGGUUUUAUUUAGGACAACUCAUCAAAAGUUGAAAAUAUGAAAUUUUACCAUAAUGUUGUUUGAAAACAUAUAAACAUAGCAUCUUUUAAUUUUUAAUAAUUAAUUCUAAUAAUUUUCAAAUUCACAGAAGACAAACACUCUGUACUUGUUAACUAAACCUUA